UACGGAGGAUCCGAGCGUUAUCCGGAUUUAUUGGGUUUAAAGGGUGCGUAGGCGGUUUGAUAAGUUAGAGGUGAAAUGUCGGGGCUCAACCCCGAAACUGCCUCUAAUACUGUUGGACUAGAGAAUAGUUGCGGCAGGCGGAAUGUAUGGUGUAGCGGUGAAAUGCUUAGAGACCAUACAGAACACCGAUUGCGAAGGCAGCUUACCAAACUAUAUCUGACGUUGAGGCACGAAAGCGUGGGUAGCAAACAGG
This 253-nucleotide ribosomal RNA is filed under the name uncultured bacterium. Its description in RNAcentral is "partial 16S ribosomal RNA". It matches the Rfam family "Bacterial small subunit ribosomal RNA", at positions 524 to 776 of the family's 1533-position model. The record is from RNAcentral.